This 465-nucleotide ribosomal RNA is filed under the name Vreelandella stevensii. RNAcentral describes it as "partial 16S ribosomal RNA". It matches the Rfam family "Bacterial small subunit ribosomal RNA", at positions 338 to 795 of the family's 1533-position model. The record is from RNAcentral. Lineage: Bacteria; Pseudomonadati; Pseudomonadota; Gammaproteobacteria; Oceanospirillales; Halomonadaceae.
CCUACGGGGCGCUGUAGUGGGGAAUAUUGGACAAUGGGCGAAAGCCUGAUCCAGCCAUGCCGCGUGUGUGAAGAAGGCCUUCGGGUUGUAAAGCACUUUCAGUGGGGAAGAAAGCCUUGGGGCUAAUACCCUCGAGGAAGGACAUCACCCACAGAAGAAGCACCGGCUAACUCCGUGCCAGCAGCCGCGGUAAUACGGAGGGUGCGAGCGUUAAUCGGAAUUACUGGGCGUAAAGCGCGCGUAGGCGGUCUGAUAAGCCGGUUGUGAAAGCCCCGGGCUCAACCUGGGAACGGCAUCCGGAACUGUCAGGCUAGAGUGCAGGAGAGGAAGGUAGAAUUCCCGGUGUAGCGGUGAAAUGCGUAGAGAUCGGGAGGAAUACCAGUGGCGAAGGCGGCCUUCUGGACUGACACUGACGCUGAGGUGCGAAAGCGUGGGUAGCAAACAGGAUUAGAUACCCCAGUAGUC